CUUAACACUGUCCUGUAGCUCAGCAACUCCAAAUUAGCACAGCUCCACACAUCCAAAGCCUGGAAAGGGUGGAAGAUGAAUAUGAACGGACAGAUCCCUCAUGCUCACCCUUGGUGGUGAAUUGAGUCAUCAGCUGAGUAUGGAAAGGAGUGGGGAACAAGCUCACAGGCUCUUUGUCUCCUUCGACUUUUGUUUCACAUUUGCCAGGAGGUGAACAAAAGUGCCUGCCUGCCAGCUCUGGAGAGAGCAGCAGAUCUCCCAGCACAGAGGACUGGUCAAAGAACUACCGAAGAAAACAUUCCUUUGGGGCCACCAGUGAAUGAAAAUGAUUAGCUUUCCUUGUUGCCUGUGCUCAGCACAGCAUGAAGAGAGGAAGCAUGGUCUAGCUGGGUACCAAGGAUGUUGCAAGAGAUCCGGGGCCACAGAGUAGGAGCCGGAGAAAACCCAGAGAAGCUGCUGACAACCAUGCCAGUCCCCUGCCCACUCUGCCUCUUGCCUAGGUCUGACAAAACUGGAGAAAUUAAAUUCUUUUUCAGCUUUCAUUUUCUUCAUCCCCACAACAGACACCAGUGUGGUAAGCACAAAGUCAGCAGGUCUGACUUACAAGAGGCUGAACACCCUGUUUUACAAAUGUUUGUGAAACCAAAAUAACUCAUCUUUAGUGGCCAAAUUUUAACAAUUAUAAACAGCUUUCUACUUUUAGAGUCACUGGCAAAAUUUUUGUUUUUCAGGUUCCACUAUUGAGAAACAUUUUUCCAAAAAUACAAACAAUAUAUGUGUGUUAUAGGAAAUACAAAUACGCACAAAGAAGAAAUUAAUUCACCCAUAAUCUCAUUCCCCAAUGAAAACCACUAAUAUAACAUGUUAUGGUCUUUACAUAUAGACAUUCAUUUUUUCUUAUUUUUUGGAAUCAUAUACUUUAUACUACUUGCAAUUAUUUUUUUCUGACCUGUAUUUUGUGUCUACAUUAAUAAGACAAUGAAUAUAAUUUUACAUCCUUUUUAUUACAUAAUAUUUUCCUAUUG
This 1025-nucleotide long non-coding RNA is filed under the name Homo sapiens (human). RNAcentral describes it as "HSALNT0342511". The record is from RNAcentral. Lineage: Eukaryota; Metazoa; Chordata; Mammalia; Primates; Hominidae.